RNAcentral lists this ribosomal RNA (197 nucleotides) under Aristerostoma sp. ATCC 50986. RNAcentral describes it as "partial Eukaryotic large subunit ribosomal RNA". It matches the Rfam family "Eukaryotic large subunit ribosomal RNA", at positions 1528 to 1726 of the family's 3401-position model. The record is from RNAcentral. Lineage: Eukaryota; Ciliophora; Colpodea; Cyrtolophosidida; Cyrtolophosididae.
CCAUGGGUUACUCGAUCCUAAGACAAAGGGAAGUUCCCUGUAUCAUGUGAUGCUCGACAUUCGAUGUCAAAAGGGAAUCAGUUUAAUAUUCCUGAAGUGGGAAAUGGAUGAGUGGUAACACAAACAAGUUUGGAGACGCCAAUAUGAUGAUCUAGAAGAGUUAUCUUUUCUUUUUAACAGAUCAAUAGCCUUGAAAU